This 683-nucleotide ribosomal RNA is filed under the name uncultured bacterium. RNAcentral's name for it is "bacterial SSU rRNA". It matches the Rfam family "Bacterial small subunit ribosomal RNA", at positions 821 to 1500 of the family's 1533-position model. The record is from RNAcentral.
UGUCCGGGAUGUUAACCUCCUGGUACCCGAAGCUCACGCANUAAGUAACCCGCCUGGGGAGUACGGUCGCAAGACUAAAACUCAAAGGAAUUGANCGGGGGCCCGCACAAGCGGUGGAGUAUGUGGUUUAAUUCGAAGCAACGCGCAGAACCUUACCUGGGCUUAACAUCCCCUGACAUCCACAGAGAUGUGGCUUUCCCUUCGGGGACCAGGGAGAUAGGUGCUGCAUGGCUGUCGUCAGCCCGUGUCGUAAGAUGUUGGGUUAAGUCCCGCAACGAGCGCAACCCUUGCUCUUAGUUGCCACCAUUAAGUUGGGCACUCUGAGAGGACUGCCGGUGUUAAACCGGAGGAAGGCGGGGAUGACGUCAAGUCCUCAUGGCCCUUACGUCCCAGGGCUACACACGUACUACAAUGGCAGAGACAAAGGGCCGCGAAACCGCGAGGUGGAGCUAAUCCCAAAAACACUGUCUCAGUCCGGAUUGAAGUCUGCAACUCGACUUCAUGAAGCUGGAAUCGCUAGUAAUCGCAGAUCAGCACGCUGCGGUGAAUACGUUCCCGGGCCUUGUACACACCGCCCGUCACACCACGAAAGUGAUUAUAACCAGAAGCAGAUGAGCCAACCGCCAAGGGGGCAGUCUACCAAGGUUGUAGUCGUGAUUGGGGUGAAGUCGUAACAAGGUACC